AUUGAACGCUGGCGGUAUGCUUAACACAUGCAAGUCGAACGGUAGCAGGCCUUCGGGCGCUGACGAGUGGCGGACGGGUGAGUAACGUGUAGGAAUCUGCCCUGUAGUGGGGGACAACGUGGGGAAACCCACGCUAAUACCGCAUACGCCCCAAGGGGGAAAGCGGGGGACCGCAAGGCCUCGCGCUAUAGGAUGAGCCUGCGUUGGAUUAGCUAGUUGGUAGGGUAAAGGCCUACCAAGGCGACGAUCCAUAGCUGGUCUGAGAGGACGAUCAGCCACACUGGGACUGAGACACGGCCCAGACUCCUACGGGAGGCAGCAGUGGGGAAUAUUGGACAAUGGGCGCAAGCCUGAUCCAGCAAUACCGCGUGUGUGAAGAAGGCCUGAGGGUUGUAAAGCACUUUCAAUGGGGAGGAACACCUUGGGGCGAAUACCCCCAAGACUGACAUUACCCAUACAAGAAGCACCGGCUAACUCCGUGCCAGCCGCCGC
This 492-nucleotide ribosomal RNA is filed under the name uncultured bacterium. RNAcentral's name for it is "bacterial SSU rRNA". It matches the Rfam family "Bacterial small subunit ribosomal RNA", at positions 29 to 518 of the family's 1533-position model. The record is from RNAcentral.